AUUGAACGCUGGCGGCACGCCUAACACAUGCAAGUCGAACGGCAGCACGGUAAGUAGCAAUACUUAUGGGUGGCGAGUGGCGGACGGGUGAGUAAAGCGUAGGGACCUACCUUAUAGAGGAGGACAACACGGGGAAACCCGUGCUAAUACUGCAUAAGCUCUAAGGAGGAAAGCAUGGGACUGAAAGGCCAUGCGCUAUGAGAUGGGCCUACGUCGGAUUAGCUAGUUGGUGGGGUAAUUGCCUACCAAGGCGAAGAUCCGUAGCUGUUCUGAGAGGAAGAUCAGCCACACUGGGACUGAGACACGGCCCAGACUCCUACGGGAGGCAGCAGUGGGGAAUAUUGGACAAUGGGGGCAACCCUGAUCCAGCGAUGCCGCGUGUGUGAAGAAGGCCUGCGGGUUGUAAAGCACUUUAGGUGGGGAAGAAAUUGCACGGGUUAAUACCCUGUGUAGAUGACGGUACCCGAAUAAGAAGCACCGGCUAACUACGUGCC
This 494-nucleotide ribosomal RNA is filed under the name uncultured bacterium. RNAcentral describes it as "bacterial SSU rRNA". It matches the Rfam family "Bacterial small subunit ribosomal RNA", at positions 29 to 509 of the family's 1533-position model. The record is from RNAcentral.